CCCCUUUCAUCCCCUUCAACAUAAAAUUUCAGAAACAUAAAAUUUCAGAAACAGAAAAUUAGAGAGAAGAAAGCUCGAGAAAGAAGAUCGGGAAGAGAGGGAGCUGCGCCACGCCGCCGCCUUGGAGUUCGCAUUAGGUCCAAGUCGAAGAAAGAGAGAGGCGUCGAGUCAGCAUUGCACAGAGAGGGACUCGCCGCUGCUAUCGCGCGCCGUCGUGUGUCCUCGCUGCUGUCUGAGUAGUAAUCAUCACCUUGGGUGGAGUCCGCUGUUGUCGCCAGUUGAAGCCAUUGCUGUGGAACAGAGGUGAGAGAGAGGUGUCGAGAGGGAAAACACGAUGAAGAAGGAGGCGUUGUUUCCACCGUCGUCAAGCCGCAACGCCGUCGCUGUCAUCGGUUGGAGUCGCCGUCAUUAUCGAUGAUGGAGCCGUCGCCAAAGCCUGUGUCGCCAUCGUCCUUGCCCGCAGCGAGAGAGAAGCAAGAUGAAUCCUUUCCGUUUCUGCUGCUCUGGUCCACUGAGAAAGGGAAGAUGCCGCCAUUGUGCUUCACGGUCGCCGAUGAUGCAGCCCGCGUUGCCGAAACUGCUCGGAAGUUUUCGUUACUCAUUCUGAUUCUGUCCUAUUUCGGGAAUAUUGCUGCUGCCACUAGUUUUGAAUUCUAUUACAUGGAUUCUCAGUUAUGUUUGCUUUUGAUUCUUCUCCAAUUCGAAUCCUUGUCUUGUUGAAAACAUUGUCACUGCCAUAAGAGAUUGACAAUGCUGCUGUUUUGGUUGCGUGCUUGCUGCUGCAAUAAAAUUAAAAGAGGGGAAGAACGUCGGAUGGUGAGUGUCUUCUUAGCCGUCGCCGUUCCGGUUCCAAUUCUUUCAUUUUCAAAAUCGUAACCCCUUUCACUCUUGUUCUAUUUUAAAUUUUUUUCUCUGCUAUGUUCCUGUUUUACUCAUGGUAGCAUGUAUCUCUAAUUUAAUUCAGCCCCUUUGCUUCACCUGUUUGUCUACUGCAAUCAUCUAGAAUAUUAGCGUUGGUGCUAUUACGGGUCUGUUAGAGUUGCCCUCAGUGAGUCCGAUGCUACUUCUUUGUUUCUAGAGUGAUCUUCUCCUUGAUUAUGGCCUAUUUACACAUUUUAUUGUUACUGUUAUGCUUGUUCUAAGUCGAUUAUGGUAUAUACCUUGUUUUGAAAUCCCCAGGCAGUAAUUGCUUUUAAUUCCUAUCCAAUUUGGAUCCUCUGUUUUGCUACAACUAUGGUUACCACUGUGAGAGCUAACACAGCUGCUAUUCUGAUUGUGUUAAAACGCAAGGCUGCUACUAUGGUUGAACUUGUUGAGUGGUUAGUAGUGGUCUAGCCAGCUGUCUCGCAGUAAUUUCGCCUCCGGUUUCUUUUAAUUGCGACAUCGAGGUAGGGAUUUGUUUUAAUAAAAAAAUGUUUUGGGGCUUUGAAUACCUGAUAAGUUUAGUAGAUUAAUGCAAAUGGAUAAGUGUCUGUGAUAUAAGUGAUUUUCUAUUGAGAUUGAUAUGUUGUAUUUGCUAUUGAGUUAGUUGAUUCCUGAAUUCUGGUGAAAUUGAUUGAAUGCAUUGAUUUUAGAAUUUUUAUAGAAAUUGAUAAUAAAUAGUUUUGAAUAAUAGAUUUGGAAUUGUUAAAUUGAAAGGUUUGUUUUAGUUGUGUUGAGAAUUGAAAAGAAAGGACCCAUGACGGGUGGCAAACUCCGGCUUUUAGGGGAGGUGCUGUCGAAAUUUUUCUAAAGAAUUUGGAGUUGAUUAUUCCUGAAUUUUUGGUAAAAUUGAUUGAAUGCAUUGAUUUUGGAAUUUGGAUAUAAAUUUAUAAUAAAUGGUUUUGAAUAAUGGAUUUGGAAUUGUUAAAUUGAAAGGCUAGUUUUGGUUGUGUUGAGGAUUGAAAAGAAAGGACCCGUGAUGGGUGGCAGACUCCAGUUUUUAGGGGAGGUGUUGCCGAAAUUUUUCUAAUAAUUUGGAGUUGAUUUGGUUAAGAUUUCAAAAACGGAUGUUCUGAGGGAUUUCAAAGAAAAUCGGAUUUCUAUGAUUUGAUUGAUUUAUGAUUUUAACUUAUUCAAUUUUUCAUAAUACCAAAAAGAGAUUUUGUUAACUAGUCAAAGACUUUAAAACAGUAAUUUAAAUAUAAAUUCAAGCAUUUGGGAAUAGGAGUGUGAGUUUGAAGGUUAUGCUUGAGACUAAGAGUGAUUGUGAUGAUGAAUAGUAAUUAAAUAUGAUGAUGAAGGAUGAUGAUAGGCGAGUUUAAUAAUAUUGAGAUUGAGAAUGAGAUUGAAUAUGAGAUUAAGAAUGAGAUUGGAUACGAGAUUGAGAGUGGGAUCAAUGAUGAGAUUGAUUAUAAUUAUGAAAUGAUAGUGAAUAUGAUUCUGAUUGUGAUGCGCCUACCUAGGUGAUAGCAAGGACUGUAUUUGUUAGUGAAUUAUGGCUUGUUGUGUAUUAUAUUGUGAGCCGGAUGGCUAUGGUACAUAUUGAUUUAUGGUGGAGUAUGUAUAAACAUAUGAUUGAAUGAGAUAUAGGUGCCGGGUAAGAGGCGGUGGAAAUGACCACUCGCUCUGGGUAUAUGAUUAAGAAGUGUAAAGAUGUUGAGAAUGUAUGGAAAAUGAAUUAAUGAAUUAAUGAUUAUGAAGGAAUUAAAAUAAUAAUGAAAAUUAACGUGAAUUUGAUUGUGAUAUGCCUCCGGGUAAGAGGCAAGGACACCGAGUAAGAUGUAGUGGUGUUAUCUACUUGCUCCGAGUAUGAAUUGUGAAUGAAUUGAUGUAUGAAAAUGAAUUGUAAUGAUAAUAAAAAUGUGUUUCUGAAUGUGAUUCCGGGUAAGAUGCAGUGGUAUUAUCAAUCCUCUCCGGAAUAGUUCGAGGCUUCAGGUAAGAUGCAAGGGCUAUGUUUUUUCGCUGCUUGCUCCGGAUCGAGAACUGUAACACCUCCUGGUAAGAGGCAGUGGUGAGGUUGUCCCCUGCUCCGGGUACGCGGGUAAGAUGCAAGGGUUACGGCGAUGUCCUACUUGCUCCGUGUUUGGUGUUCUGUCGACGGUUAGCUAUCAGGACUUGUCGGGUUGGCUUUAUAAUCGAUAGAUGAGUCUCAUCAGUCAUAGACAGGCAUGCAUCAUUUGUAUUUAUGUGUAUUAUUUGGGUGUGAAUCUUAUUUGUGGGUUUACUUAAUUGAAUAAUUGCAUCUACCUGCUAAUUGACCUAAUUGCUCUAUCUGUACUCUCUAAUUGUGUAUGCCUUAUUUUGUCUUGUCUGUGUUUGACAACUGAGAGAUCCCUCAUGCUGGCGGUGGUAACGCUAAGGGUUGUACUUGAUAUUAAUAACGAGAUGUUUGCUAAAAAUUUGAGUUUAAUACUGAAUUGCUGAGUGAUAUGCUAAUAGACUGUGGUAAUGGAAGAGAUAGGCUGAACGAAGUGUUGGAUAAAAGAUUGAGAAUACAUGUUGUAGCUAUACUCGGUUUCAGAUUAGAAUGGAGUAGGUUAUCAGGUAGGAAGCCCUUUUGAUACGCUUGUGGUCCUUUUCAAUUAUAAAUUAUUCACCGUACUAUUUUGUAAUCUAAAGAAGUUUCUUUACGACUUUUCACAAUAAUACUUUCCAUAAGGCAUUUUUCAAAAAGGUUAUUUCAAGGAUGAACUACUUUUAAAAUGAAACUAAUUCUAUUUGCAAGUAUUCUUUGCUUUGAGGGUAUUUCCGUCUCCACUGAGAACGUGUGGUUUGUUUUCACCCCAAUAUCUUCCAUCCUUUCAGUGACACAGGUUCGAAGACUUAGCUUGAAGCUGCGAGCGAUUAUUGACUUUACUUAUGAGUUAAGUUACUUUCAUAGAGUUUCCUCACUUGUUUCUUAAAAAUUCUUAUUUUAUAAAGAGGGAUAGGUGUUGUAUCUGAGAUUUGUUUUGAUUUACUUGUAUAAGACUUAUUAUUAUUAUUAUUAUUAAUUAUGUGAUUAUUAUUA
Molecule: long non-coding RNA, 3931 nt
Organism: Arachis duranensis
Lineage: Eukaryota; Viridiplantae; Streptophyta; Magnoliopsida; Fabales; Fabaceae
Exons: 2
Source: RefSeq, a predicted model, not a curated record